Chlorocebus sabaeus (green monkey) is the source of this 3779-nucleotide non-coding RNA. The record is from RefSeq and is a predicted model, not a curated record. Lineage: Eukaryota; Metazoa; Chordata; Mammalia; Primates; Cercopithecidae.
UAUGAGAAGCUCUGAGAGAUCACCUGGCCAUAAUGAAGUGAACAAGUGGGAGAAUGGUGUGAGAAUGAAGUUGGAAAGGUGGGUAGAAAUUAAGUUAUCAAGUAGAGAGAUAUCUGGAGACCCAUAGACAGAAAUAUAUGGUUGAGGCUUGGAGGGAUUUGGGAAAGGUUAUAAUGGAAGGGACUUUGUAGAAGCAGGACGGCCGUGACUUCAGUACAUAUAGGAAGCCACCGUAUUUUCCCUUGGAAGAGAGGAACCCAGAAAGGUGAGUUCACAUGGAAGUCAUAAAUGUCACUAUUUCUGGGCAUCUUCAUAAGUCCUAGGUAGCAGGAAUUGGAGGGAGAGGCUAUCAAAUGGUCGGCCUGUCCAUAAUGUCUAAUGACUAAGCAAUGUGAUAGAGCAUGGUUACCAAGUAAACCAGAGUGAUCAUCGGUCAUUCACAUCCUACUUCAUCAUGUAGCCACUGGUGCAAACUGCUAAUCAAAUGAAAUUCAGUGUCUCUAAUCUCUGAUUGUGUCUACAACAUCCACAGUAUGUUUAAAUUUGAUAGAAGUAUAGAAUGAUAGCUUAUUUCUUUAUUCCUUCUGAAGCCAUCUUCCUCUCAAUUUGAGAUUUUUUUGACAUGGAUAAUGCAGGUCACAGAAAGAACCCUUCUUUUUUCUUUGAAUAGACCAAGUAUAGGAAUGAUAAAUAACAAAUAACUGAAAUUCAACUCAAUCUCGUGCCAAAAAGAAAAUCUGAUGAUAUAAUGUUAUUAACCAUAUGGAAAAUCCACUUUAUUGCUACACUAAUUCUGCUACUAAUAAGAUUAGUGCAGAAAAGACUGAAUGAAGUCACUUCAAUAUUAAUUGGUCUUUCAAAGCUUGAACAGAAAUGGCUAUUUUUAAUUAAUUUAGGAAGACUACAGGCACUGAUUUUUAAAAAUAGUGGCGUGAAAAGAGAAAAAGUAAAUGCUAAGAGGCUUGAGAACAUUAUUAAACUCAUUUAUUAUUCUUUAUAAAUAUAGAGUAAGUUAUAGAAAUCUUACAAAAUCAACAGAAGGAAAGAUAAUAGGCUAUCAUGAAAUAUGCAAUUUAUUUUUUAAAUGGGAAAAGAACUAUUGAAUCAUAAAUGGAAGAACCAUUAGGAAGUUAUGUAAACGUUUCCCCUUUGAGUAAUAUAAAUCCCAUAUCACCCUAAUGUCUAUGCCCUAAUAGUUUUAUUCAUUAUCAUAAAUUUCAGAAGUUUCAUUCUUUCACUACAUAUUUCCAAGGCAUUUUAUUUUCAUUUUAAACAAUUAAACAACUUUAUAGUCUCAUAUCUUCAAAAUACAUUUUGCAGUUUGUUAAAAAUAAAUGGGACUUGCCUAGCAAUUAACAACAUAGAAAAUGGACUAACUUGAUUUUGCUUUACUUCAUUGUUAUCUUUCACCUUUAGGAAUUACAAUUUUUAAGACUGGAAACAGAAAAGGCCAUGGGUAGUCCAAAAUUUCAGACAUCCUGAAUAUUCUUUGAUAUAAUCCUGCCAUAGGGACAUUGCAUUAAAAAUAAACAGGAAAAAUAAUUAUUCCAUCCCCUCCCUAGCUUCACCUCUUACCAAGAGAACAGGCUCAUGACAUAAGAACCAAAUAGGUUCUAGAGUCAGACAUACCUGGAUUCAAAUUCUUGUUCCUCCAUUUAUUAAUACUAUAAUUAUGUGCUUGAAUAAAUAAGUUAUUAACCACUUGUGGGCCUCAGCUUUCCACUCUGGAAAACAGACACAAAGAUAUUCCUCAGGAACCAUAUACAGUGUAUGUGACAGGAUCUAAUAGGAUACUUAGCAGACAUUAGCUGUUCCAUAAAUAUUCAUUUUGCUUUCCUUAAAAGUCAGUUGGCAUACAUUUUCAAAAUCUGGCUGACUGAACCUGUGUCUCACCAAAUACCUUUUCAAAUUCUAGAAAUCUACUUCAGAAGUUUAGGGUCAAAACAGUGGAGUCAUCCUGAAUUAUCUUGGAGAGAAGACAUAAACUUUCAAAGCCUAUUUCCUUGUCAGUAAGAUGAACAGUACCACAGCCUAUUUCGCUAGGUGACAGCAGAAUUUCUCAGUCUCAGAAUUAUAGAUAUUUUGGACGAGAUCGUUUUUUGUUGUAGGGGGUUGUCUUGAUAAUUCUAUGAUAUUUAGCAGCAUGACCAGCCUCUACUCAAUAGAUGGUGUAAGUAGCUCCAUCCCAAGUCAUAACAACCAAAAACAUCUCCAGACAUUGCCCAAUUUAUUCUGGGGAACAAACUAAGCCUCCAUUGAGAACUACUGGAUUCAAAUAAGUAACUUGAAAAUUACUUAACAUAGCACCUAGAACACAGUAAUUUUCAAUAGAUGUUAGUUAUUAGUUUUUACCCAGGUAUAAAAUUCAGGACUGCAUUUCUGAUUAUGUUGUCUCUUCAAUAUUAUACAUAAGCAUCAGUGACAGUAAAGAAACUGCUCAAAGAGGAGCCAGAUCUUUCCAUAAUGACCCCAAAGCCACCAAAAAUAAAAUGAUUAGAUAUAAUUCUUUCUGGGCAAAUAUUCAUUUGGACCUUGGGUAUAAGGCGAUGCUGGCAUCCUGCUCUGCCUGACCUCCUUCUAGGAACCAUCCUGUCUUUCCUAGUUGGUGCCAUGCUGUGUCUCUUAAAGCAAGGUUACAUCAUGCUGCUCAGGAAGCAGGCUGAGCAAUGGGAAUAGCUCAACUCUGCACUGAGUUAUACCAGUUUGGGCCUCAUGCAGGGCUGAUGCAGCUUGUGCAUGGCUACCACUUCUUUCAGUCUCUCCUUUCUUUCAAACAGCCUUCUGCCAAAUCUACCAUGUGACCAGCAUGUGUGCACAUCUUCUGUGUAUGCUUCAAAAGUGUAGGUGUCACAAAUAAAUGAUAGCAAAAUUUAGGAUGGAAUUAGUAGAUUCUUGACUUUCUCUGAAAGUUAGAAAUGUAUUAUAAAAACAAAACUUUAUAUGUAAGUUGAUUGCAUCAGACUCCCCCAUGGGCAUUAGAGGGUGAUAUUAGUAGUGAGCCAUCAGUAAUAUCCCAAAAGAUCCCACUGACUUGCCACACAUAACACUUGUUUCCAUAGACCACAGGACUGCAAACUUCAGCAGCCACUCACUCCCAGUCAAAUCCAGGCCUUCAUCUCUUUUCCAAAUAAAGUGUUAUUGAAACAUAGCUACAUUCAUUUGUUUCAUUCAUCUUUGAGUGUUUCAGGCUACAGUGGCAAUAUUAAGUGGCAGAAACUAUAUGACCCACAAAUCCUAAAAUUUUUACUACCUAGUUGUGGUAAUCUGAUAAUGACUCCCAAAGUCAGUGCUAUGUUCUAAUUUGUGAAUGUUACCUUAUUUGGGAAGAGAGACUUUGCAGGUGUAAUAAAUAAGUCAAGGAUCCUGAGGUCAGAUCCUUCUGGUGUAUCUGGGUGAGCCCUAAAUGACAGCCAAAGUGUCCUUGUAUGAGACAGGUAGAGGGAGAUUAGACACACCCAGAGGAGGAAAAGCUAACGUGAAGAUAAAGGCAAAGAUUGCUGUAAUGUAGCCACAAGCCAAGGAAUGUCAAGACAUGUUGGCAGUCACCAGACUCUGGAAGAGGCAAGGAAGUGCUCUCCCCCACAGCCUGCCGGGUAGGAUCCUGGCCCUUCAGAGCCCAUGCUGGCACCUUGAUAUUGGACUUUUGGCUUCCAGAACUGUGAGAGAAUAAAUUUCUGUUAGAAGCCACCAAGUUCAGGGUAGUUUAUUUAAAGUGGUCCCAGGACAUUAAUACUCUGGCCUUUUACAGAAAAAGUUUUCUGCAACAGGCGAAACCUGUA